This is a long non-coding RNA of Bombus impatiens (common eastern bumble bee), 1311 nucleotides long. RefSeq lists it as uncharacterized. Lineage: Eukaryota; Metazoa; Arthropoda; Insecta; Hymenoptera; Apidae. The transcript is spliced from 2 exons. The record is from RefSeq and is a predicted model, not a curated record.
UAACCUAAAGUUUGGAAAACUUCAAGUGUUUCGUUUGCAUCUGUUUUAUUAAUUAAUUGACAGGCAAAGUUUUAAAUUAGUGAAUCAUUAUUACAUCGAUGAUAAAUAGUGGUGUUCUAGAUUUAAAUGGAGCUCCGAAAAUUUUUUAAUUUUAAUUUUUGGAGAUAACGAAUUGAUUAUUUUUCAUAAAGGUUCUGCGACCUUUCUCUUAUAAUGAAAAGUAUGAUUAUUAUAAUAUAAAACGACAAAAAUAUAUAAUUGUUAUUCAAUAUAGUAUAUCGGUUGCUCCAUUUUUGGUAAAAAAAAGUAAUUUUUAAAAUUUUAUGUUUUAAAAUAUCAUUCUUUUCAGCAUAAUAAGUAACAUUUGAUUUGGGCAUUAAAGACAGGAAGUUAAAAUUUAUUAGAAUUUGAAUGAAAACUGAUAGCUUUCAUAAUAAUUUAUGUCAAUCCGCUGUAACUUUAUCUUUAAAUUAUAUCAUGAAUUUCUAAAUGAGGAAUAAUAUAAAUACCUAGAGAUAUUUAUAUUCAAUUUAAUUCAAAGCUAACCAUUAUUUCAGCAAUAAAAUAGAACAAGUAAAUUUACUAUUAGUCCUGUAAUUCUUAUGUAUGAUUUUAGUUUCUUAUACAUUUUUGAAGAAUAAUUUAACUUAAGGGAUGUUUUUGUAUGUACUGCAUUUGUGUAUUCAUAGACUUUGGCAAUUAAUGUAAGUAUUUUCUCUAUACAAAAUGCUUUCGCACAUAUUUAAUUUUUUGGCAUUUACAUGUGCAACAUCGGUAUUUGGUGGAAGCUGAUUUACAUCCAAUUUUAAGUAUUUCUUAUCUCUCUGGUAGAUGGAUGUUAAUAGAUAUUAUGCCUUAUUUAAGUAUUAGAAUUUGUUGAUAAGAUUUCAAACAUACGUAGAUUAAUCUGAAUUAGUCAGGUAAAUAUUAAUUAUAAAGGAUAAAAUGAAAUUUACAAAUAAUACAAUAAUAAUAAAAUAAUAUAACUUAUAUGUAUUUCAAACUUAAAUUGUGAAUAAAAAUAUAAACAAGAAAUGUUUAUAAUUUGUUGUGUAUUGUAUUCCGAUGAAAGAUGUGGAGUGAUAAAUUUGUUUAAUUUUGUAAAGCAUUAAAAAGCACAAUAUUGUAAAUUUGCUAAUCGUGAGAGGAGAUAUUAUUUUUUGAAGAAUAUUGUAGAAUUAUGACGAAAAGAAAAUUCAAUCUUUCAUCAUUUUAAAAUUAUAUUAUAAUUUUUUAAUCCCAAGGGUGAAAGCUGUACUGAAUCACAAGUUUUUGUUUUACCAAGAUGGAGACGUUAUGCAUAUAUUUUAA